Molecule: ribosomal RNA, 419 nt
Filed under: uncultured bacterium
Lineage: Bacteria
Description: partial 16S ribosomal RNA
Rfam family: Bacterial small subunit ribosomal RNA
Source: RNAcentral
UAUUGGACAAUGGGGGCAACCUUGAUCCAGCCAUGCCGCGUGUGUGAAGAAGGUAUUCGGAUUGUAAAGCACUUUAAGUUGGGAGGAAGGGCUUUAGGUUAAUAACCUCAAGUUUUGACGUUACCAACAGAAUAAGCACCUGCUAAAUCUGUGCAUGCAGCCGCGGUAAUACAGAUGGUGAAAGCGUUAAUCUGAAUUAAUUGGCGUAAAGCGCGCGUAGGUGGUUCAUUAAGCUGGGUGUGAAAUCCGCAGGCUUAACCUGGGAACUGCUUUGAUAACUGCUGGGCUAGAGUACAGUAGAGGGUAGUGGAAUUUCCUGUGUAGCGGUGAAAUGCGUAGAUAUAGGAAGGAACACCAGUGGCGAAGGCGACUACCUGGACUGAUACUGACACUGAGGUGCGAAAGCGUGGGGAGCAAAC